RNAcentral lists this transfer RNA (75 nucleotides) under Rhizophagus clarus. Its description in RNAcentral is "tRNA-Lys". It matches the Rfam family "tRNA". Rfam says of the family: Transfer RNA (tRNA) molecules are approximately 80 nucleotides in length. Their secondary structure includes four short double-helical elements and three loops (D, anti-codon, and T loops). Lineage: Eukaryota; Fungi; Glomeromycota; Glomeromycetes; Glomerales; Glomeraceae. The record is from RNAcentral.
GCCCAGUUAGUUCAGUUGGUCAGAACGCCACACCUUUUAUACCGUGGAAACGCGGGUUCGAUUCCUGCAUUGGGC